RNAcentral lists this ribosomal RNA (1217 nucleotides) under Salmonella enterica subsp. enterica serovar Typhimurium str. CDC_2009K1158. RNAcentral's name for it is "bacterial LSU rRNA". It matches the Rfam family "Bacterial large subunit ribosomal RNA", at positions 1 to 1147 of the family's 2925-position model. The record is from RNAcentral. Lineage: Bacteria; Pseudomonadati; Pseudomonadota; Gammaproteobacteria; Enterobacterales; Enterobacteriaceae.
GGGUUGCGAGGUUAAGCGACUAAGCGUACACGGUGGAUGCCCUGGCAGUCAGAGGCGAUGAAGGACGCGCUAAUCUGCGAUAAGCGCCGGUAAGGUGAUAUGAACCGUUAUAACCGGCGAUACCCGAAUGGGGAAACCCAGUGUGAUUCGUCACACUAUCAUUAACUGAAUCCAUAGGUUAAUGAGGCGAACCGGGGGAACUGAAACAUCUAAGUACCCCGAGGAAAAGAAAUCAACCGAGAUUCCCCCAGUAGCGGCGAGCGAACGGGGAGGAGCCCAGAGCCUGAAUCAGCAUGUGUGUUAGUGGAAGCGUCUGGAAAGGCGCGCGAUACAGGGUGACAGCCCCGUACACAAAAGCGCAUGUGCUGUGAGCUCGAUGAGUAGGGCGGGACACGUGGUAUCCUGUCUGAAUAUGGGGGGACCAUCCUCCAAGGCUAAAUACUCCUGACUGACCGAUAGUGAACCAGUACCGUGAGGGAAAGGCGAAAAGAACCCCGGCGAGGGGAGUGAAAAAGAACCUGAAACCGUGUACGUACAAGCAGUGGGAGCCCCACCACCAAAGCAUUCUCUGGUGUUGAAGGCCCUGCAAAGCAGCAUCGCGGUGGCGGAGCGUCGUUUGCGACGCCCAACACACAAAACAAGCGGUGAAUGCUUUGGGGUGGGGUGACUGCGUACCUUUUGUAUAAUGGGUCAGCGACUUAUAUUCUGUAGCAAGGUUAACCGAAUAGGGGAGCCGGAGGGAAACCGAGUCUUAAUUGGGCGUUAAGUUGCAGGGUAUAGACCCGAAACCCGGUGAUCUAGCCAUGGGCAGGUUGAAGGUUGGGUAACACUAACUGGAGGACCGAACCGACUAAUGUUGAAAAAUUAGCGGAUGACCUGUGGCUGGGGGUGAAAGGCCAAUCAAACCGGGAGAUAGCUGGUUCUCCCCGAAAGCUAUUUAGGUAGCGCCUCGUGAAUUCAUCUCCGGGGGUAGAGCACUGUUUCGGCUAGGGGGCCAUCCCGGCUUACCAACCCGAUGCAAACUGCGAAUACCGGAGAAUGUUAUCACGGGAGACACACGGCGGGUGCUAACGUCCGUCGUGAAGAGGGAAACAACCCAGACCGCCAGCUAAGGUCCCAAAGUCAUGGUUAAGUGGGAAACGAUGUGGGAAGGCCCAGACAGCCAGGAUGUUGGCUUAGAAGCAGCCAUCAUUUAAAGAAAGCGUAAUAGCUCACUG